UCUCAGUUCGGAUUGCAGGCUGCAACUCGCCUGUAUGAAGUCGGAAUUGCUAGUAAUCGUGGAUCAGCAUGCCACGGUGAAUACGUUCCCGGGCCUUGUACACACCGCCCGUCACACCAUGAGAGCCGGGAACACCCGAAGUCCGUAGUCUAACCUAUAUGGAGGACGCGGCCGAAGGUGGGUUUGGUAAUUGGGGUGAAGUCGUAACAAGGUAGC
RNAcentral lists this ribosomal RNA (216 nucleotides) under uncultured bacterium. RNAcentral describes it as "partial 16S ribosomal RNA". It matches the Rfam family "Bacterial small subunit ribosomal RNA", at positions 1286 to 1500 of the family's 1533-position model. The record is from RNAcentral.